CCUACGGGCGGCUGCAGUAGGGAAUCUUCCACAAUGGACGAAAGUCUGAUGGAGCAACGCCGCGUGAGCGAUGAAGGCCUUCGGGUCGUAAAGCUCUGUUGUUAGGGAAGAACAAGUACCGGAGUAACUGCCGGUACCUUGACGGUACCUAACCAGAAAGCCACGGCUAACUACGUGCCAGCAGCCGCGGUAAUACGUAGGUGGCAAGCGUUGUCCGGAAUUAUUGGGCGUAAAGCGCGCGCAGGCGGUCCUUUAAGUCUGAUGUGAAAGCCCACGGCUCAACCGUGGAGGGUCAUUGGAAACUGGGAGACUUGAGUGCAGAAGAGGAAAGCGGAAUUCCACGUGUAGCGGUGAAAUGCGUAGAGAUGUGGAGGAACACCAGUGGCGAAGGCGGCUUUCUGGUCUGUAACUGACGCUGAGGCGCGAAAGCGUGGGGAGCAAACAGGAUUAGAUACCCGAGUAGU
RNAcentral lists this ribosomal RNA (464 nucleotides) under Klebsiella pneumoniae. RNAcentral describes it as "bacterial SSU rRNA". It matches the Rfam family "Bacterial small subunit ribosomal RNA", at positions 338 to 794 of the family's 1533-position model. The record is from RNAcentral. Lineage: Bacteria; Pseudomonadati; Pseudomonadota; Gammaproteobacteria; Enterobacterales; Enterobacteriaceae.